ACGGGAGGCAGCAGUGGGGAAUAUUGCACAAUGGGGGAAACCCUGAUGCAGCGACGCCGCGUGAGUGAAGAAGUAUUUCGGUAUGUAAAGCUCUAUCAGCAGGGAAGAUAAUGACGGUACCUGACUAAGAAGCACCGGCUAAAUACGUGCCAGCAGCCGCGGUAAUACGUAUGGUGCAAGCGUUAUCCGGAUUUACUGGGUGUAAAGGGAGCGUAGACGGCAUGGCAAGUCUGAAGUGAAAGCCUGGGGCUCAACCCCGGAACUGCUUUGGAAACUGUUAAGCUAGAGUGCAGGAGAGGUAAGUGGAAUUCCUAGUGUAGCGGUGAAAUGCGUAGAUAUUAGGAGGAACACCAGUGGCGAAGGCGGCUUACUGGACGAUAACUGACGCUGAGGCUCGAAAGCGUGGGGAGCAAACAGGAUUAGAUACCCUGGUA
This 434-nucleotide ribosomal RNA is filed under the name uncultured Clostridium sp. Its description in RNAcentral is "partial 16S ribosomal RNA". It matches the Rfam family "Bacterial small subunit ribosomal RNA", at positions 341 to 792 of the family's 1533-position model. The record is from RNAcentral. Lineage: Bacteria; Bacillati; Bacillota; Clostridia; Eubacteriales; Clostridiaceae. RNAcentral also lists the same sequence under 1 other name.